CGUGUAGGCGGCUCAUCAAGUCUGGUGUGAAACGCAAGGCUUAACCUUGCGUAUGCGCUGGAAACUGGUGGGCUUGAGUUCCUGAGGGGAAGCUGGAAUUCCAGGUGUAGGGGUGAAAUCUGUAGAUAUCUGGAAGAACACCGGUGGCGAAGGCGAGCUUCUAUCAGAGGACUGACGCUGAGGCGCGAAAGCGUGGGGAGCAAACAGGAUUAGAUACCCUGGUAGUCCACGCUGUAAACGAUGUGCACUAGGCGUGGGGCCCGUACGGGUUCUGUGCCGUAGUUAACGUGUUAAGUGCACCGCCUGGGGAGUAUGCUCGCAAGGGUGAA
Molecule: ribosomal RNA, 329 nt
Filed under: uncultured bacterium
Lineage: Bacteria
Description: bacterial SSU rRNA
Rfam family: Bacterial small subunit ribosomal RNA
Source: RNAcentral